This 354-nucleotide ribosomal RNA is filed under the name uncultured Selenomonas sp. RNAcentral's name for it is "bacterial SSU rRNA". It matches the Rfam family "Bacterial small subunit ribosomal RNA", at positions 1 to 339 of the family's 1533-position model. Lineage: Bacteria; Bacillati; Bacillota; Negativicutes; Selenomonadales; Selenomonadaceae. The record is from RNAcentral.
AGUAGUUUGUAUCAGUGGCUCAGGACGACGCUGGCGGCGUGCUUAACACAUGCAAGUCGAACGGGGCGAUUUUAAGCUUGCUUAGAUGAGCCUAGUGGCAAACGGGUGAGUAACGCGUAGGCAACCUGCCUCUAAGAUGGGGACAACAGUCCGAAAGGACUGCUAAUACCGAAUGUUGUAAGUAACUCGCAUGAGGGACUUACCAAAGAUGGCCUCUACUUGUAAGCUAUCACUUAGAGAUGGGCCUGCGUCUGAUUAGCUAGUUGGUGGGGUAACGGCUCACCAAGGCGACGAUCAGUAGCCGGUCUGAGAGGAUGAACGGCCACAUUGGGACUGAGACACGGCCCAGACUCC